CUUAGUAAGAUCUUCCUUAUAUACAAAUAUAUACAACAUAAACAGGUGGGAGAGUAGCCUCAAAAUAUUUAGCACUAUCCCAACUUGAGUUUAGAUUUAUGCACUAAAAUGGUAGAGAUAGAUGGAUGAUAGAUAGGUAAGAGAUAAUGCUAUAUAUUCCAUGCAACUGGUAUGCCUAUACUAGUAUGUACAAACAAUAUCAAUUCUGCACCUAUGUUUUCUUUCAUUUCUUUCAUGGUUUAAAUUUUUACAUUUAAGUUUUUAUCCACAUGAAAUGUAUUUAGUAUAAGGAGUGAGGUAGGGAUUAUAACCCGACCUCCCAAAAGGAUAAUUAUUCUAUUAUCAUUUAUUUAUUACAUAAUUCAUUUUAAUCCCAUGAUAUGAAAUACAUCUUUGUUUUGUAUAAAUUGUACAGAUAUUUCAGGGUGAGAGUGUUUCAGAAAGACAAAGCAGCAGCAAAGAAGCCAGUGUGGUGGGAGAGGUGUCAGCUACAGCAAGAGGAGCAGGAAAUGGGAGGACUCAUGUCAUGUAGGACCUCCUGAGCCAUUCUGUAUCUGAAGAAUUUUUUACUGAUUUCCUUUGCUUUGUUGGUUUAUUUGUUGAUAGCUAGGAAUCGGUAUAGAUUUUUAAAAAUCUCCCAGUUGAUCUCAUUCUUACUUGCUCAUUGAAUUGUCUUUUCUUUUCAGAUCAAUUUUGAUCAUUUAUAUUUUUAAAAAACACCUACCUUAUCCAGGACUUUUCCCUAAUUCAUUAAUAUGGAAAGGUGCAAAGAAAUCUCUUAACAUUUGAAUGAUACUUUAGUUAUUCAACAGGUAUUUAUUGAGUACCACCUAUGUGCUGAUCACUGCUCCCAGCUCUGGAGAAACAAGACAAUAUUUUCUACAAAGCAAAUAGGAUAGAGAAGUCCUUGAUUUCACAGAACUUACAGUCUGGUCUGGGAAAUAGAUGUUAACCAAGAAAACAACUUAUAAAGUAUACUGAAGAGGAGCCUUGACCCUCAUAAAAAGUUCAACAUCUUUCUGCUCUUAUGACCUACAUUGUUGAGUUCUGCUUCCAGAAAUCCAAGAAAACCAAAAGAAUUUGUAGACUGGACAUAUUGAGAUGAAGGGGAAAAAAGCAGCAACAACAAAAUUGUGGGCAAUCUUGUAAGUUUUUCAAUGUAUUACAGAAGAGUAGACCUUAUCAAGGCCUAACCCCUCCCCUGGAACAUGCCAAAAGACCAAGAGACAAAGUUAUUCAGGAUUAGCUUCACCCAUGAACCUAACCAAUCGCAGCAUAAAUUAGAACACAACAGAAGACAUGGACUUGACUCUGUGAAACCUCUGAAACUUUUUACCUGCUUCCUACCUAACAGAGAAGGCUUUAGGCUAUUUGCCUCAUCUUCCUAUAUCUGUCUUAAGGCAACACUGCGAAACCCUCUACCAUGCAGUGCUGACUACCAUUGUUUUAUCUAUCUCUAUGAUAGAGAGAUGAAAAAAGUUCCCUCCCUAGAGUGUGGUGUUAGGUGCUUCCACAAGUGAUGGACUAAUCAAUCUCUGUUUUUAACUUCUGCUUUAACCAAGAAAUAAAUAUAUGAACAAAAAGGAAAAAAAGAAAAAAAAGGAAAAAUUACAGUCCGCUACCGAAUGAACUGUGUCCCCUCAAGUUGAGAUUCUUUCUCUCUCAAUCUCUCUCCACUUGUCAUGUGAGGACACAGCAAGAAGAUGGCCAUCUACAAGCCAGGAAGAAAGCCUUCACCAGGAAUCAAACCAGCACCUUGAUCUUGGACUUCCCAUCCUCCAAAACUGUGAGAAAUAAAGUUCUGUUGC
This is a long non-coding RNA of Lagenorhynchus albirostris (white-beaked dolphin), 1808 nucleotides long. RefSeq lists it as uncharacterized. NCBI's taxonomy places the organism in Eukaryota, Metazoa, Chordata, Mammalia, Artiodactyla, Delphinidae. The record is from RefSeq and is a predicted model, not a curated record. The transcript is spliced from 3 exons.